UACGGAGGAUGCAAGCGUUAUCCGGAUUCAUUGGGUUUAAAGGGUGCGUAGGCGGGCUAUUAAGUCAGUGGUGAAAUCCUGCAGCUUAACUGCAGAACUGCCGUUGAUACUGAUAGUCUUGAGUUUGGUUAAGGUAGGCGGAAUGUGUAAUGUAGCGGUGAAAUGCUUAGAUAUUACACAGAACACCAAUUGCGUAGGCAGCUUACUGAGCCGACACUGACGCUGAGGCACGAAAGCGUGGGGAUCAAACAGGAUUAGAUACCCUGGUAGUCCACGCCGUAAACGAUGAUUACUCGCUGUUGGCGAUACACUGUCAGCGGCUAAGCAAAAGCAAUAAGUAAUCCACCUGGGGAGUACGGCCGCAAGGUUGAAACUCAAAGGAAUUGACGGGGGCCCGCACAAGCGGAGGAACAUGUGGUUUAAUUCGAUGAUACGCGAGGAACCUUACCUGGGCUUAAAUGUAGAGUGCAUUUUCUAGAGAUAGAAAUUCCCUUCGGGGCUUUCUGCAAGGUGCUGCAUGGUU
This 523-nucleotide ribosomal RNA is filed under the name uncultured bacterium. RNAcentral describes it as "bacterial SSU rRNA". It matches the Rfam family "Bacterial small subunit ribosomal RNA", at positions 524 to 1050 of the family's 1533-position model. The record is from RNAcentral.